CAAAAUGUAGUUAAACUAGUAAAACAUCUCCCUUACACCGAGAAGAUACCCGUGCAAUUUGGGCCAUUUU
RNAcentral lists this transfer RNA (70 nucleotides) under Squatina nebulosa (clouded angelshark). RNAcentral describes it as "tRNA-Val". It matches the Rfam family "tRNA". From Rfam's summary of the family: Transfer RNA (tRNA) molecules are approximately 80 nucleotides in length. Lineage: Eukaryota; Metazoa; Chordata; Chondrichthyes; Squatinidae. The record is from RNAcentral.